RNAcentral lists this ribosomal RNA (525 nucleotides) under uncultured bacterium. RNAcentral describes it as "bacterial SSU rRNA". It matches the Rfam family "Bacterial small subunit ribosomal RNA", at positions 15 to 518 of the family's 1533-position model. The record is from RNAcentral.
GAUUCUGGCUCGAGGACGAACGCUGGCGGCGUGCCUAAUACAUGCAAGUCGAGCGAAUGAUUAGAGAAGCUUGCUUCUCUCUGAUUUAGCGGCGGACGGGUGAGUAACACGUGGGUAACCUACCCUAUAGACUGGGAUAACUUCGGGAAACCGGAGCUAAUACCGGAUAAUACUUCGAAACACAUGUUUUGAAGUUGAAAGAUGGUUUCGGCUAUCACUAUAGGAUGGACCCGCGGCGCAUUAGCUAGUUGGUGAGGUAACGGCUCACCAAGGCAACGAUGCGUAGCCGACCUGAGAGGGUGAUCGGCCACACUGGGACUGAGACACGGCCCAGACUCCUACGGGAGGCAGCAGUAGGGAAUCUUCCACAAUGGACGAAAGUCUGAUGGAGCAACGCCGCGUGAGUGAAGAAGGAUUUCGGUUCGUAAAACUCUGUUGCAAGGGAAGGACAAGUAGCGUAGUAACUGGCGUUACCUUGACGGUACCUUGUUAGAAAGCCACGGCUAACUACGUGCCAGCCGCAGC